Molecule: non-coding RNA, 77 nt
Organism: Escherichia coli str. K-12 substr. MG1655
Lineage: Bacteria; Pseudomonadati; Pseudomonadota; Gammaproteobacteria; Enterobacterales; Enterobacteriaceae
Source: Rfam
GGCCGGAUAAGGCGUUUACGCCGCAUCCGGCAACAGUGCCGACUGCCUGAUGCGACGCUCGCGCGUCUUAUCAGGCC